This 74-nucleotide transfer RNA is filed under the name Caudoviricetes sp. RNAcentral's name for it is "tRNA-OTHER". The record is from RNAcentral. Lineage: Duplodnaviria; Heunggongvirae; Uroviricota; Caudoviricetes.
GUGCAGAUAGCAUUAAAGGAAAGUGCGGUCCGUGAGAGCGGGCGCGUUGUUAGGUUCGAAUCCUAACCUGCACA